RNAcentral lists this ribosomal RNA (442 nucleotides) under uncultured bacterium. RNAcentral's name for it is "partial 16S ribosomal RNA". It matches the Rfam family "Bacterial small subunit ribosomal RNA", at positions 338 to 795 of the family's 1533-position model. The record is from RNAcentral.
CCUACGGGAGGCUGCAGUGGGGAAUAUUGGGCAAUGGGCGCAAGCCUGACCCAGCAACGCCGCGUGAAGGAAGAAGGCUUUCGGGUUGUAAACUUCUUUUGACAGGGAAGAGCAGAAGACGGUACCUGUCGAAUAAGCCACGGCUAACUACGUGCCAGCAGCCGCGGUAAUACGUAGGUGGCAAGCGUUGUCCGGAUUUACUGGGGGUAAAGGGCGUGUAGCCGGGCUGACAAGUCAGAUGUGAAAUCCGGGGGCUCAACCCCCGAACUGCAUUUGAAACUGUUGGUCUUGAGUAUCGGAGAGGCAGGCGGAAUUCCUAGUGUAGCGGUGAAAUGCGUAGAUAUUAGGAGGAACACCAGUGGCGAAGGCGGCCUGCUGGACGACAACUGACGGUGAGGCGCGAAAGCGUGGGGAGCAAACAGGAUUAGAUACCCGUGUAGUC